Molecule: ribosomal RNA, 484 nt
Filed under: uncultured bacterium
Lineage: Bacteria
Description: partial 16S ribosomal RNA
Rfam family: Bacterial small subunit ribosomal RNA
Source: RNAcentral
AUUGAACGCUGGCGGCAGGCCUAACACAUGCAAGUCGAGCGGUUGAACUGGGCUUUCUCCUUGAUUGGACGGCUGACGAGUGGGUGAGUCCUAGGUAUGUGCCUGGUCCUGGAGGAUGACGUCAGCAAACGGAACCUGAUACCGCAUACGUUCUGAGUUGUAACGUCAUGGAUCUGCGGACCUCAGGCUAUCAGAUUUGCCUAGGUCGGAUUAGCUAGUUGGUGGGGUAAAGGCCUACCUAGGCGACGAUCCGUAACUGGUCUGAGAGGAUGAUCAGUCACACGGGAACUGAGACAGGGUCAAGAGUCCUAAGAGAGGGAGCAGUGGGGAAUAGUGGACAGUGGGCGAAAGCAUGAUACAGCGAUGGCGCGUGUGUGAAGAAGGCCUUGGGAUUGUAAAGAACGUUUAGUUGGGAGGAAGGUCAGUAAGUUAAUACGUUGCUGAAUUGACGUUACGAACAGAAGAAGCGCCGGCUAACUUCGUG